Long non-coding RNA from Bombus pascuorum, 1749 nucleotides. RefSeq lists it as uncharacterized. The record is from RefSeq and is a predicted model, not a curated record. The transcript has 3 exons. NCBI's taxonomy places the organism in Eukaryota, Metazoa, Arthropoda, Insecta, Hymenoptera, Apidae.
UUACGUUUGAAUCAGGAUCCUUGAUUAGAUCUCCUAGAUUUCAUCGUUAGUCAAAAUCAUAAUAUUUUUAAAUAACUCGUAUUUCAAUCGAAAUAUAUAAUAUUCUUAAGAAUCGUAAAUAAUGGAAGUUUUAUAAACGAAGCAGUUAAAGCAUCACAUUAUGCAAUAAUCGUUGCAAUUUUAGUUCACGUAAUAUGAAUCGCGUAGUACUUUAUCUGAUACAUUGUAUCGUCUUAUUCAAGAGUUAUCUAUAAUUCAAAAUUUUACUUAGUCAUUCACAAAAUUUUGUUUCACGAAGGAAUAUAAUUUUAAGAAGCACUACAUUUUAAUAUCCAUAAUUACAAAUUAAUAUUCAUAGUUUUUUUAAAUACUGUAUCAACUAUAUAUAAAAAUACUCUGCGUAAAGAAUUCUUUAAUAAGGAUCACGCGAAAGUUAAAGAAAUGUCACAAAAUCGUAAAAAGGUGGAUCGUGCAAUCCCAAAAGAAGGAUAUUUAUAUUUUUUUACAGGACUCCGUGGAGACAGGAUAGUAUCCCGAGAUUAAGCGCGGUGUAACAGAUCCGAGGAUCAUGGCUGAGAUGAACUUAUGCGACUCACGAACGCGAGGCGGUCAAAUUUAAAUGCGCCGUGGCUGGUUCUGGUAUCGAGGAGACAAGUCACGUUCGUCGAGAAUCCUUUUCUGAGAUUUCGUUCCGUCCUGGAUUUGGAACGGGACGGUGGAUGACAGUUUGUUGUCCGGAACAGUACCAGACGGAACCAGAAAAUAUGUAGCAGCAUUAAUCACGGGGUCUCGUUAAAGGCCGAUGCACAACAACAAGGAAUAACGUACUCGCGACAGGUGCUUGGCUUCGUGGUCGGCCAGAUAAACUGAAACUCGAGAUCUCCAACCUGGUGCUAUCGGACACAGAGAGAGGAAAAGAGAGCUUGUGCAUACCGGAUUCCAUCCGAAGACACGUUACGAUCGAUUAAGUACCGUACCGAUGAUGGAUCACAUAUACGAGGACAAAGGACAACAGUAGACUCAUGAUUCGUGAGUUAUUUAUCGUGUACCGAUUGAUCAGGUACUGCACAGAGACGAGGAGAUGACCAAUGAAAGGAAUGCGGGUCUGAUUGGUUAUGUCUGAUAGAAUCGAAAAACAGUAAAGUCAUAAAGAAUGUAUCGUUUUAUUGUAUCAUCGCUACAAAUCAGCAGGUGUUAGUCAAGAAGUGACGGUAAUUUAGUUUACUGUAUAUCAGUUUUUCCUUCUGUUUGACACCUGUUUACAUAUCUCAUUUUUUACUUCAACUCAAGACGUGAAGGUGCAACAAGUGAUUCGAUCAAUAAUUUGAGUCUUCUUACUCUUGUCAGUUCAUUUAAAAUCUGAGUACAUGGGGCCAAUUUUUUGAACCACUGUAUAAUAAAUGAAACUUAGGUAUAUAACGUUGGUACUAGUUCGAUUAAACUUCAUUAAUAUCUACUUUCACUACCUGUCCACUUAUUUUUGUCCACGAUUGUAACAGCAUAUGAUGGUAGAGGGUCUGGUUAACCAUUUUCUCGUCUCUGCACAGUAGGUUUAUUUGAGUUUGAUCGGUUUGAGACUUUAACGCGUGUAUUAUCGAUGCUCAAGGAAGAUUUUAUCGAAGAUAAACGAUUGAAGAAUACGUGUUAUAUGGAAAAGUUUUGUAAGAUGAUGGUUUUUGACAGAUAUUUGUUCUUGUUUGGUUUAUAAGGAAGUUCGAUUCAUGUGCUUUGGUUUUAAUUGCUUUGUAC